ACUCCUACGGGAGGCAGCAGUGGGAAUAUUGCACAAUGGGCGCAAGCCUGAUGCAGCCAUGCCGCGUGUGUGAAGAAGGCCUUCGGGUUGUAAAGCACUUUCAGUUGUGAGGAAAGGUUAGUCGCUAAUAUCCGGCUAGCAUUGUGACGUUAGCAACAGAAGAAGCACCGGCUAACUCCGUGCCAGCAGCCGCGGUAAUACGGAGGGUGCGAGCGUUAAUCGGAAUUACUGGGCGUAAAGCGCGUGUAGGUGGCUUGAUUAAGCCAGAUGUGAAAGCCCC
RNAcentral lists this ribosomal RNA (280 nucleotides) under uncultured bacterium. RNAcentral describes it as "partial 16S ribosomal RNA". It matches the Rfam family "Bacterial small subunit ribosomal RNA", at positions 335 to 604 of the family's 1533-position model. The record is from RNAcentral.